GAUUCUUCUAGAUGAAGAUGACAGAUCAUAGCGUCUAUGAAAAAAAAAUGGGGGUCCAGGGAAGAAAAUUCCAGGAGAAGUUCUACAGACCAUUUGGCUCCUUCCACAUGUGAAAGCUGAAAUGAUGUAAUGACAAAUCGACCUCCAGUUAACUCCAAGCUUACAUUAAGGAUAUGAUUUACUACGAUUCUGCUUAUUGUGGAAAAACAUUAAUCAAGUUUUCUGUCUGACAGGUUAUUCCUCCAGAAUGUCAAACUCUGCCCUAAGACCACAGCUACCUCCACAGUUCAAACCCUGGGCAACUGAUGAGCCUCCAUGUGGUCUUUCCAUGUCGACUCUUGUUCUUCUUAGCCUUUCUUCACACUGCAGCUAAAGGGGUCUUUUAAAAAAAUCUGAUCAGUUCUCGUCCCACUGAAAACUCUUCUGUUGCUCUUAAGGAAGAUUCUCUCUCUUUAACAUAACAGGUUUCUUAUGAACUGACACUGUAAAAGCCAUGUUCUGAACCACCACCGCUUCUUCAGAGCCAGGAAAGUGUCCUCCCAGCACCUCAUGACGCAUGUUGUACCCCUCUCAGGUUUGACACCGUUUUGUCUCAUAAUUCCCAAGAACCAAGAUUCAUAAUAUGGAGGAAAGAAGAUACAGAUUAAACUAGAAGAGGUUAAGUAAAAACUCACUUGUCCUGAAGUUGAAUUGGAUGAAGUUAUCAUUCACAAUAAUACUUAUGAAUAUAUAGCUCCUAUUCAAACCACAGAUCUAAACACUGAGCAGCAGCAGCUGCCAACUUCACUAAAGGAAAAGCAACCAGAGAGUCUAGGCUUCCUGAUGAAACAACACAGUAUCACCAAUGGUCUUAUCAAAGCAAAUAAACCUGAAUCAGAUCAAAGUACCAAUUGACAGGGAACACAGAGGACAGAGGAACACGUUAAACUCCACCACGGUGGCAUAACCAGUAGAACCGAGAUCAUGAGAAGCUCUGACGAUCCAACAUUUCAACAACUACCUUGCAAAGGAUAAAAGGGGCUUGGGGCAAAACUUGAGAUUAAAAGCAAAUUUUAAAACAAUCAAAAUUAAACUACAGUGUUUUGGGAUGCUCAAUUGAAUGGUAAAACUACUUGUUAAAAAGGGAAGUGACUUCAAUAAAAUUAGGAUAAUGGUUUCUUUUAGGGAAGAAGGUCCCAGCAUGUGAAGGGCUUCUUAGGUAGCUAGCAAAGUUCUGAUUACAAGAGGAUAUGCCUCUAAUGAUUCAGUGAAGUAGAAUUUUGUGUCAUGGAGUUGUCUGUAUUCAUGCUUCAUUUCAUAGUGAAAAAGAUUUUUAAAAAUCAUUUGAACAUGCUUAGGGAAUAAUAGUACCACCAUUCAAACUAGGACUAAGUGCUAUUAAAAUUAACUUUCAAGAUCACAAGCCAACACCUAAUCUCAGCAUUCUUGUCCAGCUCCUACUGGAUUUUAAGAAAUAAAAACUAGUUUGAGUCCCACACAACCAAAUAACCAAGCCUCUUUAACCUUCCAUCUCCUGUUCUUUCAUGUCAGCAAGAGGAAGUAGUCCGCCCUUUCCCUGGAAAAAAGCCUACUCAUUCAUCCCUGCCCUGGAAUGAUUGACACUGGGAACACCCAGUCCCUUUUUGAAAAACAUCUACUUCCAUUUACAAGGUGAAAUCUGGCUUCAGGGUAUCAGAAAAAAAAAAAAGAUAAUAAUAAUGGUUGUUGAUGUAUUUCCCCACAUCUGGGUCAUUCAAUAUAAACAAUAGUAUGUGAGAGAUGCCAUCACUUGAGUCCAAUCAUAUACUUAAGAAAAAUCAUUUCUUUACCUGUUCAAAAGAAUAUUCAGAUUAAAGCUGACCUUAUGUCAUAUCCAAGGCAUUAUCUUUCUAUUCUGAAAUGCAUAUUAAGAUGUUUAAUUCACUGCUUCUCCUUUAAAAUAACUCCCCUUUGGGGAUUUCCCUCCCUCAAAUCCUAUCUUGAGAUUUUCUGAAAAUAAGUUCUUAGAACAAAGGAAAUCUCAAAUUUUAUAAGUAAGGAACUCUAACAGCCCUCAGAAGAGAGUUCCCUCCAUUCACUCCUAUAGUGGCAAACUGGAUAAAGUCCUAAGUUUUAUCUUUAUCAGGUACUCAUUUUAACUCAUCCCAGUCAUCGAUUUGAAAAAAAUUUCCAUCAUUUAGCCCUUAGCUCUGUGUAUAAAUCUUAUAACCUCCUCUAAUUUCCCCAGAGUAAUUAUGACAAGGUGUGAAUCCAUCCGACCGGAAACAUUUUCCCCUUUGUUUGUUCUCACCCUUUACCAUUGUCUGCAAUAGAAACCACAAGCUGGCCACAACAUCCACUCUUUUCUCUCCUUCCUGGAGCCGAGGCUGAAAUAGAUUUCUCUAUUUUUGUGGCACUUAUUCCAGGGGGACUAAGUUCUCACCAAUGGAAACUCAACAAAAAAAUUCUCCACUUACAGGCUUUGCCCAUUAACACCUCCCACUCAUGCUGUCCAGCUCUUUCCUCUUUUUGGCCAGCUGGACUUGUGACCCAAAGGAAACCUUGGCAACUGAGGGUCGAACAUGGCAGAUUCACUGUCCCUUCCCAAUCCCUGAAGACCUCGGUGUGCUGCUGCUGACCUGAACUGCCUCCUCUAGAGAGAAAUAAACUGAUAUUUCAGCUGCUGACUUUUUAAGCGUGUCUUUGCUUGUUACCUUCCUAAUCAAUAUGGGAAGAGGCACCUAAAAGAGAAUACCAUUAAAAAAACACCUGAAGUACACAGUGUUGGCUUCAGGUGUGGACUGAAGGCAGAUAGGAGAUGGCUAUCAAUGGCUAUAGAAAGCCAGAUCCCCAAGUUAACCAUGAAAAACACUUUUAAAACACUUCAUCUCUGAUAGUUUGGAAAGUAGACCAAGAACUUACUGAGUCUGAAGCUAUAGGGAACAUAGCUGGUAAGAGUAGGAAUGCUAGUGUGCGAGGCUGAAAGCUGUGACUUUUAGCCCAGUAACGCAAAAAAAAAAAAAAAAAAAAA
This is a non-coding RNA of Ictidomys tridecemlineatus (thirteen-lined ground squirrel), 2989 nucleotides long. The record is from RefSeq and is a predicted model, not a curated record. Lineage: Eukaryota; Metazoa; Chordata; Mammalia; Rodentia; Sciuridae.